Molecule: small RNA, 5563 nt
Filed under: Pan troglodytes (chimpanzee)
Lineage: Eukaryota; Metazoa; Chordata; Mammalia; Primates; Hominidae
Description: retained intron
Source: RNAcentral
GUCAUAAAUAAAGUUCAUCUUAAGGCAAAUCAUGUGGUCAAGAGAGAUGUUGAUGAGCAUUUAAGAAUCAAGACUGUCUAUGAUAAAAGUGUUGAAGAGUUGCUCCCUGAGAAAAAGAAUCUUGUAAAGAACAAGCUUUUCCCACAAGCGAUUUCUUAUUUAGAGAAGACUUUUCAGGUCCGUCGACCUGCGGGUGCUAUCUUACUUAGCAGGUAUGUCACAUGAAACACAGAUCAUUUUCUUCAGCCGUUUAGUACUCUGCCUUUCUCGUUCUAUGAACAUGGCAAGGUACGAAACUUAUACUAUAAUUUUAUUAUGCUUGUUCUUAGGGACCUAACUGCAAGGUAUUUAAAAAGAAUAAAAAAGCACCUGCUGGAUAAUCAUUCUUUCCCUGACCUUUCAUUGUGAGAUGGUCUACUGAAUUUUUUCUGGGUGUAGUUAUCCCCUGUUCUCCAGAUCACCUUUUUCCCUCUUUCAUGUGGAUACAGUGUUGGCUUUAUGAAGUAUUUGGGUGUUUAAAAACCCAAAUCAAGAGGAUUUCCUAUAGAACCCAAAUUCUUUCUUAGCUACUUUCCUGACUAAAAUAGUAACGUUAUUAAUGAAGUAAUAUAGCAGCUACCAGUUGGUUUCCAUGUUUUUAACUGCUAUAAAAUAUUCUCUUUUUUGUAUUUAAACUUUGAUGUACAAAUGGACUGAAGACAAUGUGCAACAAACCAAUACCUCCGGAAGGAAAACGAUCCUCACAGGUACUGCACCGGGGAGUGUGCCACACACACAAAGUGCGGCCCUGUUAUUGUUCCUGAGGAACAUCUCCAGCAAUGCCGGGUCUACCGUGGGGGUAAGUGGCCUCAUGGAGCAGUGGGUGUACCAGACCAAGAAGGCAUCUCAGAUGCAGACUUUGUUCUUUACGUUGGUGCUCUGGCCACCGAGAGAUGCAGCCAUGAAAACAUCAUCUCUUAUGCAGCCUAUUGUCAGCAGGAAGCAAACAUGGACAGGCCAAUAGCAGGAUAUGCUAACCUGUGUCCAAAUAUGAUCUCUACCCAGCCUCAGGAGUUUGUUGGGAUGCUGUCCACAGUGAAACAUGAGGUUAUUCAUGCCCUGGGUUUCUCUGCUGGGCUGUUUGCAUUCUACCAUGAUAAAGAUGGAAAUCCUCUCACUUCAAGAUUUGCAGAUGGCCUCCCACCUUUUAAUUAUAGUCUGGGAUUAUAUCAGUGGAGUGAUAAAGUAGUUCGAAAAGUGGAGAGAUUAUGGGAUGUUCGAGAUAAUAAGAUAGUUCGUCACACUGUGUAUCUCCUGGUAACGCCUCGUGUUGUUGAGGAAGCACGAAAACAUUUUGAUUGUCCAGUUCUAGAGGGAAUGGAACUUGAAAAUCAAGGUGGUAUGGGCACUGAGCUCAACCAUUGGGAAAAAAGGUUAUUAGAGAAUGAAGCGAUGACUGGUUCUCACACUCAGAAUCGAGUACUCUCUCGAAUCACUCUGGCAUUAAUGGAGGACACCGGCUGGUAUAAAGCAAAUUACAGCAUGGCUGAGAAGUUAGACUGGGGCCGAGGAAUGGGCUGUGACUUUGUCAGGAAGAGCUGUAAAUUCUGGAUUGAUCAGCAGAGACAAAAGAGACAGAUGCUGAGCCCUUACUGUGACACGCUCAGAAGUAACCCACUGCAGCUAACGUGCAGACAGGACCAGAGAGCAGUUGCCGUGUGUAAUUUGCAGAAGUUCCCUAAGCCUUUGCCACAGGAAUACCAGUACUUUGAUGAACUCAGUGGAAUACCUGCAGAAGAUUUGCCUUAUUAUGGUGGCUCCGUGGAAAUUGCUGACUACUGCCCUUUCAGUCAGGAAUUCAGUUGGCAUUUAAGUGGUGAAUAUCAGCGCAGCUCAGAUUGUAGAAUAUUGGAAAAUCAACCAGAAAUUUUUAAGAACUAUGGCGCUGAAAAGUAUGGACCUCAUUCCGUUUGUCUAAUUCAGAAAUCAGCAUUCGUUAUGGAGAAGUGUGAGAGGAAGCUGAGUUACCCAGACUGGGGAAGCGGAUGCUAUCAGGUUUCUUGUUCUCCUCAAGGUCUGAAAGUUUGGGUCCAAGAUACUUCAUAUUUGUGUAGUCGGGCUGGGCAGGUCCUCCCCGUCAGUAUCCAGAUGAAUGGCUGGAUUCACGAUGGAAACCUGCUCUGCCCAUCAUGUUGGGACUUCUGUGAGCUCUGUCCUCCAGAAACAGAUCCUCCAGCCACUAACCUGACCCGAGCUCUGCCACUUGAUCUUUGUUCCUGUUCCUCGAGCCUGGUGGUCACCCUCUGGCUUCUGCUAGGCAAUCUGUUUCCUCUGCUGGCUGGAUUUCUUCUGUGUAUAUGGCACUAGGAAUGGAAAAGUGGAUCUUCAAGAUAUUCUUUUAUGUUAUGUUCUUGUGAACAAAGCACAAAGUUUGAGUGAGUGCCAACCUAUGCAGAUGGUAGAAGUGGCAUUCCUUGCUUUGGCUUGGAAGAAUUGACGACCAUCAGACCUUGAAGCAGAACUUCACAGCAGCCUGUCCUCAUCAGCAACCCAACAACCUUCAUCAGCAACCCAACCACCUUCAUCAGCAACCCAACCACCUCGUCAGCAACCCAGCCACCUUCAUCAGCAACCCAACCACCUCAUCAGCAACCCAGCCACCUUCAUCAGCAACCCAACCACCUCAUCAGCAACCCAACCACCUCGUCAGCAACCCAGCCGCCUUCAUCAGCAACCCAACCACCUCAUCAGCAACCCAGCCACCUUCAUCAGCAACCCAACCACCUCAUCAGCAACCCAACCACUUUCAUCUGCAACCCAACCACUUUCAUCAGCAACUCAACACCUUCAUCCGCAACCCAACCACCAUCUUCAGCAACCCAACCACCUCAUCUUGGAGAAGGAGAAGGAACUGCAAGCCACCAAGUCUUCAUUUUUCAGGGUUUGUAAUCUUCCCAAAGUUUUCCUUUGAAAAUAGGAUAAUGGGUGGAAUUUUCAGAGUGAUUACAUACCUCAACAUUUUUAUUAACAUACAACAAUGGGAAAGUUCAUCAUCCAUAUACUGCAGUCACUUAAACAACAGCCAAUUAUUGCAAGAUUAGAAUUGGAGAUCUUGUCCUCAAAAGUAUAAAUUGUCCUUUGAGUUAUAGAAAAUAAUGGAAUUGGGAUUUCUACAUAUCAUUAUUAUACCUAUUUUAAAUUUAAUGGCAGCCAGGCAUGGUGGUGCCUGCCUGUAGUUCCAGCUACUUGGGAGGCUGAGGCAGGAGGAUCGCUUGAGCCCAGGAGUUCAAGGCUGCAGUGAGCUAUGAUUGCACCACUGUAUUCCAGCCUGCACAAUAGAGUUAGACCCUGUAUCUUAAAAAAAAAAAAAAAUUAAUGGCUGGUAUAUAGUAAACUUAAUUCACUGUUCCCAUUGUUUGUUCUAAAGAAUUUUUUAAAAUAAUGUUUCAUUAAAUCUUAUGAUUUAACCGUGCUUGCCCUUUUUGCCAGCUAUGUGGCAGUUUACGGCAGAACUGCUGUCAGUGUGCUGGUAGCCCUCUGUAUUCAUCCCUCUUCAGAGCUCAGCUUCUGGUUGUAUUCUCCAUGAGUUUAAUAAUGACAUGAAAAAAUGUGGAAGCCGAGAGAGUAAAAUACUCUGCCCUGUGAAAACGUGGAAGACAUGCAAACAGAAAAAAACAUAAUUGUAUUGUUUUAGAUAAUAUUAAGACAACUGUGAAACAACAAAAACACAACUAUUCCUUUGUGACCGAUGAAGAUAAAAAGAAAUUCUGGUAAAGACAGGUAUGCAGUUUUUUAAAAUGGGUUAAGAAAUUGUUGCAGAAGAAUUUCUAACAUCUGAAAAUGGUUUUAUGUUUAAGAAGGAUGGUCUGAAUUGUGUACUAAUAGCAAGGUAUAAGUUUGGUGUAGAGCCUAUCCAGUAGCGUCCACUGUACCACUUUUAAGUAAGACUCAGUCCACAGAAGCUGGAAGAUUGCCUUCGCUUUAAAUAUCCUUUACCUUCUGCAUUUGACACUCCUCCUGUUACUACAUAGAUUCCGGUCCCCAGAAGCAAUUUUACACUGGUACUAGAGCUUACCAGCCCCAUUUAGUAAUUCCUAUUUGAAAUUUUUUAAUGGCUAGAUGAGGUUUAACAAGAAUAUGAAAAGAAAAAAGAAAAAAUAUGUUCAUGAAUGAUAGGCGAUGCCCAUUCUUUCUCUCAAGCUAAUGAAGUCCUAUGGCAUUGUAACCACAACCCUCGGACAGACUCCUCCUAUUCCUCCAUGGCAUUGUAACCACAACCCUUGGACAGACUCCUAUUCCUCCAUGGCAUUGUAACCACAACCCUCGGACAGACUCCUCCUACUCCUCCAUGGCAUUGUAACCACAACCCUCGGACAGACUCCUCCUACUCCUCCAUGGCAUUGUAACCACAACCCUCGGACAGACUCCUCCUACUCCUCCAUGGCAUUGUAACCACAACCCUCGGACAGACUCCUUCAGUUCCUCCUUUCCUCGUCCUUCCCUGCUUUUCGUCCAUUCAGCAUAUAGCUAUUCAGUACUCCAUUGAAGAAAUUAUGCUAAGUGAGCAAAGCAACAUAAUUACUAAGAAUUAAUUCUGAUUAUUUGGCACUAGAGCCAACAGCAACCCCAGCACAGAGGAAAGUUGCUUUUUUUUCAAAUGCAUACAUUUAAAGUAUGUAUUUGCAUGCAGUUUUAAAUGGGAGGUAUUUGUCAUUGUGAAAAGCUGGGAAUCUCAAACAUAGUCAACUUAACUAAAAAAGAAGCUAAUACAGGUUGAGCAUUCCUAAUCCAAAAAUCCGGAAUCCAAAUUGCUCCAAAAUCUGAAACUUUCUGAAUGCUGACCUGAUACUACAAGUAGAAAAUUCCACAUAUAAGUACUUAACACAAACUUUGUUUCAUGCACAAACUACUAAAAAUAUUGUAUAAAAUUACCUUCAGGCAGUGUGUGUAGUUAUAUAUGAAACAUGAAUUUCAUGUUUAGACUCGGGUCCAUGCCCAAGAUACCUCAUUAGGUAUCUGUAAAUAUCCGAAAUCCAAAAAAAAGUCUGAAAUCUGAAACACUUCUGGUCCCAAGCAUUUCAGUAAGUGAUGCUCAACCUGCGUAAUGGUCUGCGGGCCAGUGCUCAUUUUCUGCCUAUGUUGUACAUACUUUAAAUUGCGUAAAUUAAAAGUCAAAGCAAAGAGUCUAUUUUUAAAGAAACUUACAAUAAUCUAAACAUAUACUUCUUAUGAUUAUGAAUCAUCCUGCAAAGCUGUAUGAAGAAUUUUACCAAAAAUACAAUGAAUUAAUCAUAUAUUUGAGAGUCACAGUGAUAGGUUCGACUAUAUUUUGACUGUUGUGUAGUGGCACCAUUUAGGUAGUAUUGUUUCUGAGCAUGGUGCUUUUUAUACUUGAAAUAUAUUUUUGCUUUAUUUUUUAUUGAUAUAAUUAUAUUUGCACUAAUGGCUUUCUGAAGAAAAUAUUAUAGAUGACAUUUUUUGUAUAUAUAUUUAUUAAGCUUGGGAACCUGGUCGCCCAGUGUUUUCUCUGGACACAUGUGAAACUGGAUAAAGUAUGGAUAAAGUCUUGAGUUCCUCAGGGUAA